UCAGAAGGUCGGACAAUCGCGGUCGCAAGAUUGAGGAAAGUCCGGACUUCGCAGAAGCAGGAUGACGGCUAACGGCCGCCCGGGGCAACCCGCGGGAAAGUGUCGCAGAAAAUAAACCGCCCGCAUUUUGCGGGUAAGGGUGAAAAGGCGAGGUAAAAGCUCACCGCUUUGCUGGUAACAGGAAAGGCACGAUAAACCCCAUCCGAAGCAAGACCAAGUCGUGGCGCUUGAGAAAAGGGAAAGCUUCUGUUCCCCCACAAGGUAGGUCGCUAGAGGUUGUCUGCAAAGGCAACACCAGAUGAAUGAUUGUCAUAACAAAAUCCGGCUUACAGACCUUCUGACUUA
RNAcentral lists this RNase P RNA (345 nucleotides) under Alphaproteobacteria bacterium. RNAcentral's name for it is "RNase P RNA component class A". It matches the Rfam family "Bacterial RNase P class A". From Rfam's summary of the family: Ribonuclease P (RNase P) is a ubiquitous endoribonuclease, found in archaea, bacteria and eukarya as well as chloroplasts and mitochondria. Its best characterised activity is the generation of mature 5'-ends of tRNAs by cleaving the 5'-leader elements of precursor-tRNAs. The record is from RNAcentral. Lineage: Bacteria; Pseudomonadati; Pseudomonadota; Alphaproteobacteria.